RNAcentral lists this transfer RNA (64 nucleotides) under Tracheophilus cymbius. RNAcentral describes it as "tRNA-Pro". The record is from RNAcentral. Lineage: Eukaryota; Metazoa; Platyhelminthes; Trematoda; Plagiorchiida; Cyclocoelidae.
CAGCUUUGUAUUUUAUUUAGAAUUUUAGCUUUGGGGGUUGAAGGUCUCGUUGUGAGCAGGCUGA